UACAGAGGUCUCAAGCGUUGUUCGGAUUCAUUGGGCGUAAAGGGUGCGUAGGUGGCAUGGUAAGUCGGAUGUGAAAUCCCGGGGCUCAACCCCGGAACUGCAUUCGAUACUGCUGCGCUAGAGUACUGGAGAGGAGAUUGGAAUUUACGGUGUAGCAGUGAAAUGCGUAGAUAUCGUAAGGAAGACCAGUGGCGUAGGCGGAUCUCUGGACAGUUACUGACACUGAGGCACGAAGGCCAGGGGAGCAAACGGG
Molecule: ribosomal RNA, 253 nt
Filed under: uncultured bacterium
Lineage: Bacteria
Description: partial 16S ribosomal RNA
Rfam family: Bacterial small subunit ribosomal RNA
Source: RNAcentral